CCUCCUUAAAAAAUAAUCGCUUAGGAUAGGCGUUCACACGAAUAACUUGCUUUUACCUAAAUCAUUUCUUUACAGAUUUGAGAUUAAGGAGCGUUCUUUAACAUUUUUAUAAGUUCAAUCAAGUCACAUCAUAGUGUCUUAGUUUUUUAAUUUAGAUAUGAAUGAUGUGCAAAUGUCACCAAACCCGUCAUGUUUUAGAACAUAAGUUUGGUGUACAUACUGCAAAGUAAUUUUGGCGAAUGACAAUAGAUACUUGAAGAACAUUAAUCAUUAAGUUGUUUGAUGUAAUAUGGUCAAGUAAUUAAGCGCAUACGGUGGAUGCCUUGGCAGCUAGAGGCGAUGAAGGACGUAGUAACUUGCGAUAAGCUUCGGGGAGCCGGUAAACAGGCUUUGAUCCGAAGAUUUCCGAAUGGGGA
This 416-nucleotide unclassified non-coding RNA is filed under the name uncultured marine bacterium 311. RNAcentral describes it as "partial 16S-23S ribosomal RNA intergenic spacer". The stretch from base 292 to 416 matches the Rfam family "Bacterial large subunit ribosomal RNA", at positions 1 to 124 of the family's 2925-position model. The record is from RNAcentral.